Long non-coding RNA from Astyanax mexicanus (Mexican tetra), 275 nucleotides. RefSeq lists it as uncharacterized. The transcript has 3 exons. NCBI's taxonomy places the organism in Eukaryota, Metazoa, Chordata, Actinopteri, Characiformes, Acestrorhamphidae. The record is from RefSeq and is a predicted model, not a curated record.
AGGUCCAAUCCAGUCCAAAUCUCUUUAAAGGUAUCGAACAAGAGCCUGUACAAGAACCACAAGCUCAGUCCUGUAUAGGUGGAGACAGGCCAGUUAAUUUCUUACCCACUGAAAAAGUCUUCAUGGUGGAAUCCCUCCUGAAAUCAAGCAAUUUCAGAGAAAAAAGAAGGUAUCGCGUCAGCCUGGAUGAAAUUCAGCGUCGCAUUGGUCCCCCAGAGUUUCUGUCUUUAAAUGGGCUUGUGUCAUAUCUGCGGACAGCAAAAUCCAAUAAAGAC